AGCGAACGCUGGCGGCAGGCUUAACACAUGUAAGUCGAGCGGGCACUUUCGGGUGUCAGCGGCGGACGGGUGAGUAACGCGUGGGAACGUGCCCUCUGGUUCGGAAUAACUCAGGGAAACUUGAGCUAAUACCGGAUACGCCCUUUUGGGGAAAGGCUUGCUGCCGGAGGAUCGGCCCGCGUCUGAUUAGCUUGUUGGUGAGGUAACGGCUCACCAAGGCGACGAUCAGUAGCUGGUCUGAGAGGAUGAUCAGCCACACUGGGACUGAGACACGGCCCAGACUCCUACGGGAGGCAGCAGUGGGGAAUAUUGGACAAUGGGCGCAAGCCUGAUCCAGCCAUGCCGCGUGAGUGAUGAAGGCCUUAGGGUUGUAAAGCUCUUUUAUCCGGGACGAUAAUGACGGUACCGGAGGAAUAAGCCCCGGCUAACUUCGUG
Molecule: ribosomal RNA, 435 nt
Filed under: uncultured bacterium
Lineage: Bacteria
Description: partial 16S ribosomal RNA
Rfam family: Bacterial small subunit ribosomal RNA
Source: RNAcentral